This 497-nucleotide ribosomal RNA is filed under the name uncultured bacterium. Its description in RNAcentral is "partial 16S ribosomal RNA". It matches the Rfam family "Bacterial small subunit ribosomal RNA", at positions 28 to 507 of the family's 1533-position model. The record is from RNAcentral.
GACGAACGCUGGCGGCGUGCCUAAUACAUGCAAGUUGAGCGCUGAAGGUUGGUACUUGUACCAACUGGAUGAGCAGCGAACGGGUGAGUAACGCGUGGGGAAUCUGCCUUUGAGCGGGGGACAACAUUUGGAAACGAAUGCUAAUACCGCAUAAAAACUUUAAACACAAGUUUUAAGUUUGAAAGAUGCAAUUGCAUCACUCAAAGAUGAUCCCGCGUUGUAUUAGCUAGUUGGUGAGGUAAAGGCUCACCAAGGCGAUGAUACAUAGCCGACCUGAGAGGGUGGUCGGCCACAUUGGGACUGAGACACGGCCCAAACUCCUACGGGAGGCAGCAGUAGGGAAUCUUCGGCCAUGGACGAAAGUCUGACCGAGCAACGCCGCGUGAGUGAAGAAGGUUUUCGGAUCGUAAAACUCUGUUGGUAGAGAAGAACGUUGGUGAGAGUGGAAAGCUCAUCAAGUGACGGUACCUACCCAGAAAGGGACGGCUAACUACGUG